Molecule: ribosomal RNA, 992 nt
Filed under: Trichoderma deliquescens
Lineage: Eukaryota; Fungi; Ascomycota; Sordariomycetes; Hypocreales; Hypocreaceae
Description: SSU rRNA
Rfam family: Eukaryotic small subunit ribosomal RNA
Source: RNAcentral
UGUCUAAGUAUAAGCAAUUAUACAGCGAAACUGCGAAUGGCUCAUUAUAUAAGUUAUCGUUUAUUUGAUAAUACUUUACUACUUGGAUAACCGUGGUAAUUCUAGAGCUAAUACAUGCUAAAAAUCCCGACUUCGGAAGGGUUGUAUUUAUUAGAUUAAAAACCAAUCCCGCUCGGGGCUCUCUGGUGAAUCAUGAUAACUAGUCGAAUCGAUAGGCCUUGUGCCGGCGAUGGCUCAUUCAAAUUUCUUCCCUAUCAACUUUCGAUGUUUGGGUAUUGGCCAAACAUGGUGGCAACGGGUAACGGAGGGUUAGGGCUCGACCCCGGAGAAGGAGCCUGAGAAACGGCUACUACAUCCAAGGAAGGCAGCAGGCGCGCAAAUUACCCAAUCCCGACACGGGGAGGUAGUGACAAUAAAUACUGAUACAGGGCUCUUUUGGGUCUUGUAAUCGGAAUGAGUACAAUUUAAAUCCCUUAACGAGGAACAAUUGGAGGGCAAGUCUGGUGCCAGCAGCCGCGGUAAUUCCAGCUCCAAUAGCGUAUAUUAAAGUUGUUGUGGUUAAAAAGCUCGUAGUUGAACCUUGGGCCUGGCUGGCCGGUCCGCCUCACCGCGUGCACUGGUCCGGCCGGGCCUUUCCCUCUGCGGAACCCCAUGCCCUUCACUGGGUGUGUCGGGGAAACAGGACUUUUACUUUGAAAAAAUUAGAGUGCUCAAAGCAGGCCUAUGCUCGAAUACAUUAGCAUGGAAUAAUAGAAUAGGACGUGUGGUUCUAUUUUGUUGGUUUCUAGGACCGCCGUAAUGAUUAAUAGGGACAGUCGGGGGCAUCAGUAUUCAAUUGUCAGAGGUGAAAUUCUUGGAUUUAUUGAAGACUAACUACUGCGAAAGCAUUUGCCAAGGAUGUUUUCAUUAAUCAGGAACGAAAGUUAGGGGAUCGAAGACGANCAGAUACCGUCGUAGUCUUANNNAUAAACUAUNCCGACUAGGGAUCGGAC